CCACGCCCGCCGCCCAGACUAGGACGCCAGCUGAAGGGGGCGGGGCGAGACGGACUGUCAGUUUCCCUGAGUGGACAAUAAAGUUUCAGAAGUUUGAAAAAGGAGGAAAGAAACACCCCACGCCCCUUUGGCUGCUCCGGCGUGGACGCCUGCGGCCCUGCACGGGCAGAUCUCCAGCGGCGGUGUGCGGGCGGAGGCGUGGUGGGCGCGCGGGGAUGGGGGUCACCGUGGACGUGCACGAGGUGUUCAAGUAUCCCUUCGAGCAGGUGGUCGCCAGCUUCCUCCGAAAGUAUCCGAACCCCAUGGAUAAAAAUGUCAUCUCUGUAAAAAUUGUGGAGGAGAAAAGAGAUGUGUCGACAGGGAUCAUCUAUAGAAAGAGGAUUGCAGUCUGUCAGAAUGUGGUUCCAGAGAUGUUAAGGAAGCACUCUGGUGAUUGUUGGAAAAAGGUGAACAUUUUAAAGGUACCUAAUAUCCAGUUAGAAGAGGAGUCAUGGUUCGAUCCUCAGGAAAGGAACAUGGCUAUAAGGAGUCACUGCCUUACGUGGACACAGUAUGCAUCCAUGAAGGAAGAGUCUGUUUUCCGGGAAAGUGUGGAGAAUCCGAAUUGGACAGAGUUCAUUCAGAAGGGCAAGAUUUCCAUCACAGGGGUUGGUUUUCUCAACUGCGUUUUGGAAACUUUUGCCAGCACCUUCCUAAGACAGGGCGCCCAAAAGGGGAUUAGAAUAAUGGAGAUGCUGCUAAAGGAACAGUGCGGUGCUCCCGUCGUCGAAUAAAGAAUCACCAGGACGCCGUUGUGUUGACUUCUGAUCGAAAAUUGUUUCUUGGACACAACACAUCCAGAGACAGUGUUCGAAAUACACGUUUUCAGAUUUGGUGUUGGCAGCUUAAAGAAGAGGAGACCUUCCUGCUGGAACAUGACAUGACUGACUCCCCUGGAAGCCUGAUUCAGACAGCGAGCAGCUCUCGUGGAGAUGAGGCCUUCUGGCUGAUUCUUAAGGCACCAUCUCUACGAUUUUACCGACGAAGGAAAAAACCCAUAGAAGAUGAUACGAACUCUUCUGCAGGGUGUCCUGCUCAUCACCUGGUGACAGUGUCAGGGCACCAGGGAUGGGCCAGAGGUCGGGGCGGGGAGGGGGGGUGUUUGCCUGUCUGUUCUCUGAAUCAUUGCUCACAGGACUCAUGAGAAGAUUCUGGGACAAAUAAAGGAGUUAAACUUAUUCUUCCUUAGAAGAAUAGGUUCAGAGGCCUCUUUGGCCUCAAACAAAUAGGAAUGUACCAGACUGUGUUGAAACUAAGCCACACUGAUAGUGUUGAAAAUUCUUGGAAAUCAGGAGCCUUUGAUUUCCACCCACCGAUUCUACGUAACUGCCAUCAGUACAGCUUUUGAGAUCUAGCACGAGGGCUGUGAUUCGUCCUCUAAAGAACCUGGAGGUGGGGGAGGCGGACCAGCAUCCUGGCUCCUCCUGACUCCUUCUGGGAUGCGGAGGGCGUCCUAUAACCUCGCUGCUUUUCACUGGGCCAGUGGGGCUAAUCGGGCACAGAUCUUUCUGCUUGUGAUGAUUAAACAAGGUCGGCGUGAAAAGCACUGGUUGGGAGUCAGACAGACUCUGGCCUGAUUCCCAGUGCGGUCGCCCGUCAGCUCUGUGAUCAUGACGCAGCCCCUCCUUGCUCCUGGCAGAAGCUGUAUCUUCAAGUUCUUUGUCCACAGGGAACAGAUGACAGCUGCUCAGCCUGAGACCCACCUACCUCCUGUCUCACGUCCUCAGACACUGCAGACACUCAAAUCCUGUUCUGCUGGUGGAAAAGCUGGAGGAGCCAUGAUGAAGGCCACCUCUAAUGAAUUCCCCACAUUCCCACGUGCCUCAGAGUCACCCUUCCCUCCCAGCAGCAUGGCCUUUGCCUGUCGGUGUCUCAUAAGGUAAAAUGGGGUGAAUAUGCCGUGAAUGAAUGGAGCAAGCCUUGCCAUCAAGGGCAUUGCCCGUGAUUUUGAGGACGGAGUUAACAUAGAGCUCAUGGUUAUUGAGAAGGAAGUGUGGAAGUAUGAAGAACAUUUACCCAAUAUUAAAAUUUAUUUUUCAGUGUGACCUAUUUUGGGGGGAGAGACAGUGACGUUUCUACUUUUGUUCAGGGAAAACAUGAGUCAGGAAUCUUUGUGUCAAUUUAAUGUUUUUAACCUACCCUUGUCUCCUAAACAGAGGUGGUAACAGACAAACCAUCUCCUUCUAACCAGGCUGUUUACAGUGUUUAACCCAGGGUGCUUGUUAAAAUCAAAGGGAAGGGGUAAGAUAACCAAUGUAAGGAAAAACUAAUGAAGCUGUAUUUUCUGAUUCUUGUAAUUGUAGUGGUGUGGUUGGUUCUGCUACAGUGAAGCUCUUAUUUCCAGUAAGAAACCUCUUUUCUCGUUUACUCUCUCAUACAUUUUAACUGUCAUGCAGAUGGAAAUUGUAUGGCAGCUGCCAGCAGGAAUGACCUUAGUUUUUGUUUACAAACACAAAGCUUUCUAUUGAGAAUGCUGACGAUAUUACUCAGCUGCUUUGUUGAAACAGCCCAUCAUGGUCAGACCUGAGUUUCCCUUCACAAAGUGAAAUUUGACAGUGAUUGUGGCAUUAAAUUAAGAUUAAAAUACAACAAAUCUAAGUAUCUGAUUCAAUUCAAAUGCAGUCCAGAAGCUUGAACUAGAAUCGUAGUUACGCUCUGUCCUGUCUGUGGAUGUAGGCUCUCUGGGCUUCAUUGUUUGCCCCCAUAUGGGAUGGAGUAAUAAUAGGGCCUGCUUUAUAGGGCUGUUGAAAGGAUUAAAUGGGUUCAAGUCCUAUAAAAACAGUUGGAAUGGAGCAGUGCCUGGCAUAUAGUAAACACUCAGCAGUCUACACAAGAGACUGUGGUGUUAAUUCUUUAAACAUUUGGUAGAAUUCUCCAGAGAAACUAUUCAAGCCUGAAGUUUUUGUUUUAGGGUGAUUUUUAACUACAAAUAUGGUCUAUGUGAUAGUUUUAGGGCUAUUCAAAUGUUCUGUUUCAUACUGGGUGUGUUGGGGUAGUUUUGUGUUUUUCGACGAAUCACUGAAUAUUACAUAGGUUGUUAAAUUGGUGUGUGCUGAAUUGUUUGCAGUAUUUUUAUAUUAUCUUUUGAAUAUCCGCCUGGUUUUUAAUGAUAUGCUCUGUUUGUCAAUCUUAGUGAUCUUUUCCAAGAACUAGUUCUUGGUUUUCCUGAUGGUUCUCUUUUGCUUUUCUGUUAUAUUUUAUGGACUUUUGCUCUUCAUAAUUCCUGUCUCCUGCUCGCUGUGUUCUUUUUCUCUUUUAUCCUACUGCUUGUUCCCUUCUUUUCUAUGUCUUGAGACAGGAGCUUAGAUGAUUUUUCUUGAAACUUUUCAGCUUGUUAAUGUAUUCAUGUAGUGCUAUAAAUUUCCCUUCUAGCCCUGCUUUAACUGUUGGACAAAUUUUGAUAAUGGUGUAUUUUCAUUUUCAUUUAGUUCAUUGUAUUUGAAAGAAGCCUCUUGAGCCUUUCUUUUUGACUCAUGGAUUGUUGAGACGUGUGUUGUUUAGUCUUCCAAUUAGAGAUUUUCUAGAUGUUUUUAUGCUCUUGAUUUUUUAAUCUGAUUGCACUGUGGUUGGAGAACACGCCCUCUAUGAUUUAAAUUCUUUACAUCUACUGAGGUUUGUUUUCUGGCCCAGGAUGUAUAAACUAUCUUGGUGUAGGUUUCAUGGACCCUUGAAAAGAAUAUUUAUUUAUUUUUUUUUGUCUUUCUAAAGUUUGCUUACAACGUGUUUUGUUGUGGAUAUCUCGGAGUAUAUACUGCUUGGUAAUUGCUCAGCUUUUUGAAUCUGAGGCUUUAUAUCUUUUGCCAAAUUUCAGAAGUUUUCAGUCUUUAAAGUACUCUUUCAGCCUCAACUUAUUUAUCCUCUCCUUCUGGAACUAUGAUGACAGGAAUGUUAGAUUUUUUUGUUAAACUCACAUAGGUCCCUGAAGCUCUGUUUGUUUUUGUUCAGUCUAUUUUGUCUGUUCAGAUUGAGCAAUUCUAUUGUUGGAUAUUUCAGUUUGAGCCUAUCCUUUGGAUUAUUUACUUAUUAUGUUUUAUAAUUCUAAAAUUUCCAUUUAGUGCUUUGUGUCUUCCUUUGCUUGGACUCUCUAUUUUGUGAUUUGUUUCAAACACGUUUGCAAGUACUCACUGAAGCACUUUUAUGAUAACUACUUAAAAAUAUUUGCCAAAUAAUUCUAACGUCUCUUUUAUCUUGGUGUGGAAUAUUUUGAUGCUCUUGUUUUCAGGUUGAGAUCCCCCUGGAUCUUGACAUGAUGAAUGAUGUUUAAAAAAGUGAAACCUUGGCAUUUCAGGUAUUAUGAGAUUCUGAAACUUCUUUAGAUACUCUGUUUUUUUUUUUUUUUUUUCCUGGCUUACUGGAAUAGCACUCUAGCAGGGGAAUUGUGAGUGCUGCCUCAUUAGUGACACAUAUUUCUCCAUUGACAUCUGAGAGAAAGAAGAGCCUUGCUACAGCUUGAUGGGAGUGAUGGUUCUGGCUCCCUCCUGGACAGCAGUGAUACCUCCUGGGCUGGGAGGGAUUAGAACGCCUCAUUACCACUUGGCACAUAGGCUCUACUCAUACUGUGGGAUUGGUGAAUGUCCUAACUCUCCUAGGUCCCCUCUGACAUCACCUGUACAGGAAGGGAAAAGAAAUACCCUGUUGCUGCCAACUGUAGUGGAAGUCCAGGUUCUUGAUGAAGAAUCACUGGAAGGUGAUUUAAUACCACUUGGCGGGGAUGAACGUGCUGUUCCUACUCCUUCCUUGAUACCAUCCUGGCAAGUGGCUUGUGAAUUCCUGUUAAAGCCCAGGGAGGGAAGUCUAGGCUCCUCAUGUGGCCUUAAUUGGCAGGAGUUGGGAUUGCAGCCAUAGUUUCUUCCAUGGUAUUUCGUUAGAGUACAAUAAUCUAAAUAUUUUCAAUCUUGGUUAGGCUGUGCCUUUUUGUCUGUGCCUCUUAGCAUCUCCAGGUUGCUGGGUUGCUGGCUUCCCCAGCAAUCGAUCUGAAAUAUGUGAGUCACAAAGAAAACCCAGCAAACUUAUUGUACUGUUACUGUUUGGGUCUCAAGUUGCUAGUUGAUUUGCCUUUUCUUACUUCACUUUGCAUUAUAUAUAUAUAUAUAUUUUUUUUUUCUUUUCACAGCCACACCUACA
Non-coding RNA from Sus scrofa (pig), 5163 nucleotides. The record is from RefSeq and is a predicted model, not a curated record. Lineage: Eukaryota; Metazoa; Chordata; Mammalia; Artiodactyla; Suidae.